GUGGGGAGGGUUGAAAAAAUGUUAUUCUUUGCUUGCUAUUUACAUUGAAUCGUGAAACCAACCGCUUUAUCAUGUUUUAGAACAGUUCAUAGUUUUCAUUUAUCAUUAUGAUAUGAUAUGUGGGGGCGUUUUGAUUAUUGGGGGGUUUACAACACCCCAUCCCCCCGUAAUUUACGCCUAUGAUUAGCAUGCUAAUCGCCAAUUAAAAUAAUCGCUAAUUAGCCACCAUGCUAGGCGGAUUUUGGCAAGACGUUUGUACAAGUUACCUCUGUGUCCAGAAUGUAAACUCACAUGCUGUUUCAAGCUAAAUGCCACAGGAAUAUGUAGCUUUAGAUAGCAUAGUUUAACUCCUUAUUUUAUGGAGUAAUGUGUGUUUUGCAUUGAAUAUAUAGUCAGUUAUAGUUUGUAUUGUGCAUUAGAUCUAGAGCACACUACUGUUAACACCUAACAAGUACGGGAAAGAAAUAUAAUACUUAUCAUUUUAUGUUUGUUGUGCAGUGACUACACCUGAGCAGGUGAUACACAGGUACAGGUACAUCCUGAAGACAUACAAAAUCUAAUAAAAAAUAAAAAAUUAAUUUCUGUGUGUCUCAGGCCUUGAAACGCCACCAUGGGGACAAAACAGUGAUCGCUCCGACAAGCAUCAUUGCUGAGGUGGACAUAGCUUCAGAAGGGGAAAACUUUGUUGUGUGUCCCCCCCACCCCCCACUGAAAGAACAACCCUAAAAUAUUUCGCAUUGCAGCUCAAAAGAUUUGUGGACUCCUGUCCUGAGCUGAAGGACAAAAUAAAAAAGACUGAAAAGAGGUAAAAAAAAAAACCUCCUCCCAUUGAAAUGGCAAUUUAGAACAUGGGAACAAAGUUUCUGAAAAUUGUUUUUUUUUUAUUGGUUUGUUACAUUGAUAAUAUAAACAUAGCUUCCUGUUUUGCUCUUGUUUUUGUUUUUUUGUUGUUGUUUUUUUACUAUAAUUAAUCAUUUUCACUACAUUUUGAUUUUGAUUGCCAUGGAAAUUUGUAGACUUGUAGACCCUUAUUUCCUUAGUUAAGAUAAUUAGUUCAGAGUUAAGAUAUUUUGUUGUUAAAUUGUUAUAUAGUACCAUUUAUAUAGCACAUUUAUAUUGUAUCAUAGUAGUUUAUAUAGUUAAGACAUUAUACAUAAAACAUACUCUAUUUAAUCAUGUUCAAUAUUCUCAUUGUCUUUUCAAAAUGUCUGUUGUUAAUGACAUGUUGCAUGGUGAUAGUGUGUGACAUGAAAGGUAACCUGCACCAAACAGGUAGUCUUGGAUCCCUUAUCGUAACAUCAGAUAGGCACAACUCCUGUAAUGUUUGACAGUGUUCACUGUGAUCAGCAGUAAGAACAGGAGAAGAGCACAUACCUUGUUGGUUCUGUUUUUAUUUUCAGAGUAAGAGCGGGAGAACAGUGUAAACUUCUUAAUCCAGCCCACCCUCUGUUGUUGCUCUGUAUUUACAGAGUAGGAGAAGACCACAUAGCUUGUCGUUUCUGUGUAGUUAAAGAAUAAAAACAUUUUUUUAUAA
Thunnus maccoyii (southern bluefin tuna) is the source of this 1534-nucleotide long non-coding RNA. RefSeq lists it as uncharacterized. The transcript has 2 exons. The record is from RefSeq and is a predicted model, not a curated record. NCBI's taxonomy places the organism in Eukaryota, Metazoa, Chordata, Actinopteri, Scombriformes, Scombridae.